RNAcentral lists this long non-coding RNA (1803 nucleotides) under Zostera marina. RNAcentral's name for it is "long non-coding RNA (ZMAR_LNC000548)". Lineage: Eukaryota; Viridiplantae; Streptophyta; Magnoliopsida; Alismatales; Zosteraceae. The record is from RNAcentral.
UACCAUGGCAUGCCAGCGCACCAGACUCCUUCAUUGCAGUCAGUCCCUCCUCGAUUCACAGAGUACUUCAAUGACGAGAACACUGUUGGUUGCCAUAUCAUGUGAAGGAAAUAUGAUGGUGCAUAGCUCAAGAGUUAAUUAGAUUCAUUACUUAGUAGAUUCACAUGUAUAGUAUAGAUGUUUGAUAUUUCACAUUAGACAAGUAAAUAUUUACAAAAUUAUUGAAUGAUUCCACAUUAAUUUAUAACGGACAUAAAAAUUCAGUAGCACUAUUUUAAUCUUGUAUGUUGUAUUUUAGCAUUAUAAAUGAAAUCAAGCAUAAGAUCCGGCCUUUUUAAUAGUCUAACUCUAGAAUUAACACAUGAGAAACGAAAGUAAUUGAUUUUUUUUAGGCGGUGGUGAUGGUGUAUCCAUGUAUAGGCAUUGGACAGUAUGGUUGUGUGGAGCAGACCUGACUUUAACGAUGAAGGAAAUAUCAGAUCCGUAAAUUAAACUGAGAUGACCAAAUGGAACAAAAGAAAAGAAAAACAUUUCCUUAAUGCUCAAAUUGGUCGGUCCUACAAGCAAGCAUAUGUGAAUUCAGCAAAUGAUAAUUAAAAUGAGUAUUUAAAAUGAAUUUGACUUUGACGAAGAGUUGAUUAUUUAAUUAUGUCUUCAAAUUCGAACAUUUAAAAGAUAUGGCAAAAGACGGCAAUCACCCAGAAGAGAUAAAUAAAUAGUCAACUGGUUUUAUUUAUGACAAUAAAAAUUUACAUGAAAUCAUGAGUUGUGAGGUCUUACCUUUCUAGGUAGUUGUUGUGGUGUACAUCCCAUGAAGAAAAAUGGGAAACAUAUUUCAUCAGCUAUUUAAUCAAAUUUAUUAAACAAACAAAUUAUAUAUGGUAGCAGAGAAAAAGAAAUAUCAACAAAAGUACGAGCUUUAAGAAAAUCCCUAAAAUACGAGCGAGCUUUAAGAAAGUUAAUUGUGUUGCUCAUCAAGUAUAUACAUGUGAAAGGGUGUCUAUAAAUCGAGAUUCUAUAAUUCAAAAAUCAUGUCCUUUAAAAAGGGUAUCCAUCCUUAAGAUACUUAUAGAUGCAGAAUGGGAAGAGUGCAUGUGUAAAACGUGCAAUCAUAUAUAAUGUCUAGCAACUAGCACAUCAUCCAGGUUUGACAAAACCUUCAAGAAUAUUGUAGGCUCUGCGAUUAUUUGUCAGUUUGUAACAUACAUACAUUAGUAUUAAAACAAGUUGUUUGGCAACGAGGGUCAAUCAAAGUCCUACAUUUGAUAUUUCAGCAAAAAUUUCCGACAGAAAUCAUAACCCAUUAAGGAAACCAUAGAUUUCAUUCAAGCUUCUCAAUAAAAUGAUAAUUAAAAAAUACUAGAAAUUACCGAAGCAUCCACUUCAUCAUUCAUUAACCUCCUAAAUCUCAAAUUCUUGCGCAAGCGAGCAGUUGAUGUUCAGUUUGAAUUUUAAAAAUCAGAUACCACGUUACAAAUCUCCAAAUCAUUUCAUUCCUUAAAAAAAGAUGCUAUAACCUACAAGUAUCUAACCGAAUAUUGCACGGAAUAGCUGAUAUAUAGAAUGAAUCAACAAUAAGAGAUUUUGAAUCCAGAUUGUUUUUCCGCAUUGAUAAAAAAAAACAGCCAGAUGCAAAAAUAAGAGACAAAAGUUCGAUCAGUGAGCAAACCGUAUAUUGAUUUGCUCCUCCGAUCUGAUAUGAUCCGAUCUGAUAUGAUCCGAUCUGAUCUGAAAUCUGAUCUGAUCUGAUAUGAUCCUCCCGAUGAGUCGGCGAGGGUCCAUCACCCUCUCCGUCAAUCUCCG